This 245-nucleotide ribosomal RNA is filed under the name uncultured bacterium. RNAcentral describes it as "partial 16S ribosomal RNA". It matches the Rfam family "Bacterial small subunit ribosomal RNA", at positions 524 to 768 of the family's 1533-position model. The record is from RNAcentral.
GACGAACCGUGCGAACGUUGUUCGGAUUCACUGGGCUUAAAGGGCGCGUAGGCGGGCGGUCAAGUCAGGGGUGAAAUCUUUCGGCUCAACCGGAAAAGUGCCUUUGAUACUGGCCGUCUCGAGGGAGGUAGGGGCAUGCGGAACUUCCGGUGGAGCGGUGAAAUGCGUAGAUAUCGGAAGGAACGCCGGUGGCGAAAGCGGCGUGCUGGACCUCUUCUGACGCUGAGGCGCGAAAGCCAGGGGAG